Molecule: non-coding RNA, 388 nt
Organism: Camellia sinensis
Lineage: Eukaryota; Viridiplantae; Streptophyta; Magnoliopsida; Ericales; Theaceae
Source: RefSeq, a predicted model, not a curated record
GCUUAUGACAACUAUAUGACUUAUGCUUUUCCGGUCAGUUCUAGUUCCCACUAUAUGAGAUAUUAUUUAUAUUUGAUGAAUAUUAUGAAGUUGUGGUCUAUUGGUUCUGUAGCAUGAUGAACUAAAGCCUCUAGCCAAAACAUUCACCGACUCCCUUGUCGAGCUAGGAAAUUUGAAGCUCGAACAUUUGCCACAACAGCAUCAUGGAUCUGCCCUCACACUUGUAGAAUCGCUAUCCAGCCUUGUUAUCAUUGGGGAACAACACAGAAUUUGAAACGGGCUGUUCUUUGGCUUUCUGAAAAUCUAACUUUUGAUGUUGAUGCGAGGAUACAUCUUUUUGAGUGCAACAUAAGAGUUCUUGGAGGACUUGUUUCUGCUCAUAUUCUUG